GUCCUUCCCACAGAGAGCGGUUUGAUAUGUCACUGAAACCAGCAUCCAGGUGGUAUUGCUCCAUAUGCCUGAGACCCUAACAAAAGCCUAAUUACAACUCAUAUGCCUGGAGCCAGGACAUGUGCAGGAUGACUCUGCCAAGAGAGGGGAUUAUUACAUAUUGCAGAGCCCAGCACCUAGGUGGAGUGACUCUCAUCUUUUUCUUCUACCCCGUAUAUAGCCAGCUUGGUGACCUACUAUUUGAGUCUAUACCCAGGCCCAGACCACAGAUGAAAUUGUGCAAUAUGUGGAACAAACACCUAAACAAUAUAUAACACCUUCCUUGGCUCUGUCUACAAAGGGCACUUUUAUAUAUCACUGGGACCAUCAACCAGGUGAUGUUGUGCCAUAUAACUGAGACCGUAUCAAAAGCCUAAUAACAAGACGUAUGUCUGGAGCCCCGAUAUGCACAGGAUGGUGAUAUAACCCUCUUCUCUGGAAUGGGCCCCACACAAAGGAAGGAUAGUGACAUAUUGCAAGCCCAGGCACACAGGCCCAGAGCACAGUUGAAAUUGUGACAUAUGUACACCAAGCAACCAAGCAAUGUAUAACACCUCAUUUGGCAAUGGAAUCGAGGGCACUUUUACAUAUCACUGAGACCAGCGCCCAGCUGAUGUGAAAUAUUGGCCUGAACCCUGCCUACAAAAGCAUUGUGGCUUUUAUCUAGCUCCAUUACAUAAGUGAUGUGACUUCCUUCUACUGCCUUGGCCCUGCACUUAUGGUGAAUCGUGACACAAAAUUGGGUAGAGCAACCAGCCUGGGCCCUGACCAGCACAGAGAUUGAGGCAUAUUGCUGAACCCAGGACCAAGAUGAAGUCACUCUCCUGCCUUGAUCCUGCACACAGGGACCCUUGUGACAUAUAUACAGGCCAAUUGCCUAGGAACAUUGUGACAUCGCUGGAUGUAGCAUCUACGAAAUGUGACUCUCCUCUCCUGCUUAGGUCCUGCCCACAAAAGGAAUUGUGACAUAUCACUGAGUGCAAAACCUAGUAAAUGCAACUCUCCUCU
Long non-coding RNA from Homo sapiens (human), 1047 nucleotides. Ensembl annotates it as long intergenic non-protein coding RNA 293. The record is from Ensembl. Lineage: Eukaryota; Metazoa; Chordata; Mammalia; Primates; Hominidae.